RNAcentral lists this ribosomal RNA (253 nucleotides) under uncultured bacterium. RNAcentral describes it as "partial 16S ribosomal RNA". It matches the Rfam family "Bacterial small subunit ribosomal RNA", at positions 524 to 776 of the family's 1533-position model. The record is from RNAcentral.
UACGUAGGGGGCAAGCGUUGUCCGGAUUUAUUGGGCGUAAAGAGCGUGUAGGCGGCCAGGUAGGUCGGCUGUGAAAACUGGAGGCUUAACCUUCAGACGUCGACCGAAACCAUCUGGCUAGAGUCCGGAAGAGGAGAGUGGAAUUCCUGGUGUAGCGGUGGAAUGCGCAGAUAUCAGGAAGAACACCCGUGGCGAAAGCGGCUCUCUGGGACGGUACUGACGCUGAGACGCGAAAGCGUGGGGAGCGAACAGG